ACAGGCUUAACACAUGCAAGUCGAGGGGCAGCAUGGUCUUAGCUUGCUAAGGCCGAUGGCGACCGGCGCACGGGUGAGUAACACGUAUCCAACCUGCCGUCUACUCUUGGACAGCCUUCUGAAAGGAAGAUUAAUACAAGAUGGCAUCAUGAGUCCGCAUGUUCACAUGAUUAAAGGUAUUCCGGUAGACGAUGGGGAUGCGUUCCAUUAGAUAGUAGGCGGGGUAACGGCCCACCUAGUCUUCGAUGGAUAGGGGUUCUGAGAGGAAGGUCCCCCACAUUGGAACUGAGACACGGUCCAAACCCCUACGGGAGGCAGCAGUGAGGAAUAUUGGUCAAUGGGCGAGAGCCUGAACCAGCCAAGUAGCGUGAAGGAUGACUGCCCUAUGGGUUGUAAACUUCUUUUAUAAAGGAAUAAAGUCGGGUAUGGAUACCCGUUUGCAUGUACUUUAUGAAUAAGGAUCGGCUAACUCCGUGCCAGCAGCCGCGGUAAUACGGAGGAUCCGAGCGUUAUCCGGAUUUAUUGGGUUUAAAGGGAGCGUAGAUGGAUGUUUAAGUCAGUUGUGAAAGUUUGCGGCUCAACCGUAAAAUUGCAGUUGAUACUGGAUAUCUUGAGUGCAGUUGAGGCAGGCGGAAUUCGUGGUGUAGCGGUGAAAUGCUUAGAUAUCACGAAGAACUCCGAUUGCGAAGGCAGCCUGCUAAGCUGCAACUGACAUUGAGGCUCGAAAGUGUGGGUAUCAAACAGGAUUAGAUACCCUGGUAGUCCACACGGUAAACGAUGAAUACUCGCUGUUUGCGAUAUACUGCAAGCGGCCAAGCGAAAGCGUUAAGUAUUCCACCUGGGGAGUACGCCGGCAACGGUGAAACUCAAAGGAAUUGACGGGGGCCCGCACAAGCGGAGGAACAUGUGGUUUAAUUCGAUGAUACGCGAGGAACCUUACCCGGGCUUAAAUUGCAGAUGAAUUACGGUGAAAGCCGUAAGCCGCAAGGCAUCUGUGAAGGUGCUGCAUGGUUGUCGUCAGCUCGUGCCGUGAGGUGUCGGCUUAAGUGCCAUAACGAGCGCAACCCUUGUUGUCAGUUACUAACAGGUUCCGCUGAGGACUCUGACAAGACUGCCAUCGUAAGAUGUGAGGAAGGUGGGGAUGACGUCAAAUCAGCACGGCCCUUACGUCCGGGGCUACACACGUGUUACAAUGGGGGGUACAGAGGGCCGCUACCACGCGAGUGGAUGCCAAUCCCCAAAACCUCUCUCAGUUCGGACUGGAGUCUGCAACCCGACUCCACGAAGCUGGAUUCGCUAGUAAUCGCGCAUCAGCCACGGCGCGGUGAAUACGUUCCCGGGCCUUGUACACACCGCCCGUCAAGCCAUGGGAGCCGGGGGUACCUGAAGUGCGUAACCGCGAGGAGCGCCCUAGGGUAAAACUGGUGACUGGGGCUAAGUCG
This 1442-nucleotide ribosomal RNA is filed under the name uncultured organism. Its description in RNAcentral is "SSU rRNA". It matches the Rfam family "Bacterial small subunit ribosomal RNA". The record is from RNAcentral.